CAGACGUUUACAGGAAUAGAGGAUCGAGGUAACAGACGUUUAAAGGAGUAGAGGAUCGGGGUAACAGACGUUUACAGGAAUAGAGGAUCGAGGUAACAGACGUUUACAGGAAAACAUCAUCAUGGUUUACUUACAGAACAUUUGAGUACAAAUACAUAUGAUACAAGUAGAGGUAUACACAACUCAUAGACAACUCGUACACAACUCGUACACAACUCAUAGACAACUCGUGCACAACUCGUACACAACUCGUACACAACUCAUACACAUCUCGUACACAACUCAUAGACAACUCGUACACAACUCAUAGACAACUCGUGCACAACUCGUACACAUCUCGUACACAACUCAUAGACAACUCGUACACAACUCAUACACAUCUCGUACACAACUCUUAGGACAUACAGUGACUUGCGAAAGUAUUCACCCCCUUGGCAUUUUUCCUAUUUUGUUGCCUUACAACCUGGACAUUUGCCUACCACUUUGAAGACGCAAAUUAUUUUUUAUUGUGAAACAAACAAGACAUAAGACAAAAAAAACAGAACCUGAGCGUCCAUAACUAUUCACCUCCCCAAAGUCAAUACUUUGUAGAGCCACCUUUUGCAGCAAUUACAGCUGCAAGUCUCUUGGGGUAUGUCUCUAUAAGCUUAGCACAUCUAGCUACUGGGAUGUUUGACAUUCUUCAAGGCAAAACUGCUCCAGCUCCUUCAAGUUGGAUGGGUUCCACUGGUGUACAGCAAUCUUUAAGUCAUACCACAGAUUCUCAAUUAGAUUAAGGUCUGGACUUUGACUAGGCCAUUCCAAGACAUUUAAAUGUUUCCAUUAAACCACGCAAUUGUUGCUUUAGCAGUAUGCUUAGGGUCAUUGUCCUGCUGGAAGGUGAACCUCCGUCCCAGUCUCAAAUCUCUGGAAGACUGAAACAGGUUUCCCUCAAGAAUGUCCCUGUAUUUAGCACCAUCCAUCAUUCCUUCAAUUCUGACCAGUUUCCCAGUCCCUGCCGAUGAAAAACAUCCCCACAGUAUGAUGCUGCCACCACCAUGCUUCACUGUGUUCUCAGGGUGAUGAGAGGUGUUGGGUUUGCGCCAGACAUAGCGUUUUACUUGAUGGCCAAAAAGCUCAAAUUUAGUCUCAUCUGACCAGAGUACCUUCUUCCAUAUGUUUGAGGAGUCUCCCACAUGCCUUUUGGCGAACACCAAACGUGCUUACUUACUUUUUUCUUUAAGCAAUGGCUUUUUUCUGGCCACUCCCAUAAAGCCCAGCUCAGUGGAGUGUACGGCUUAAAGUGGUCCUACGGACAGAUACUCCAAUCUCCGCUGUGGAGCUUUGCAGCUCCUUCAGGGUUAUCUUUGGUCUCUUUGUUGCCUCUCUGAUUAAUGCCCUCCUUGCCUGGUCCGUGAGUUUUGGUGGGCGGCCCUCUCUUGGCAGGUCUGUUGUAGUGCCAUAUUCUUUCCAUUUUGUAAUAAUGGAUUUAAUGGUGCUCCGUGGGAUGUUUAAAGCUUCUGUGACAUCUGAAGGUAAUAGGCUGCACCAGAUGACAUUUAGGGGCAUCAUAGCAAAGAGGGUGAAUUAAUACAUACUGUACAUACUGUACAUACAUACAUACAUACUGUACAUACAUACAGACAUACAUACUGUACAUACAUACAUACAUACAUACAUACAUACAGUACAUACAUACUGUACAUACAUACUGUACAUACUGUACGUACAUACUGUACAUACUGUACAUACUGUACAU
This is a long non-coding RNA of Oncorhynchus tshawytscha (Chinook salmon), 1738 nucleotides long. The record is from Ensembl. NCBI's taxonomy places the organism in Eukaryota, Metazoa, Chordata, Actinopteri, Salmoniformes, Salmonidae.